RNAcentral lists this ribosomal RNA (20 nucleotides) under Biatora subduplex. Its description in RNAcentral is "partial 28S ribosomal RNA". The record is from RNAcentral. Lineage: Eukaryota; Fungi; Ascomycota; Lecanoromycetes; Lecanorales; Ramalinaceae.
GAUGGACAUCCGAUCAGGUU